GCCAGGUGUGAUGGCUCACACCUGUAGUCCCAGCUACUCAGGAGGCUGAGGCAGGAGGGUCACUUGAGGCCAGGAGUUCAAGACCAGCUAGCCUGGGCAACAUAGUGAGACCUCCUCUCUAAAAUAAAUAAAUAAAAAUAUAAGAUAGAAUGGCCAGGCGUGGUGGCUCAUGGCUGUAAUCCCAGCAAUUUGAGAGGCUGAGGUGGGAGGAUCGCUUGAGGUCAGGAGCUUGAGACCAGCCUGGCCAACACGGCAAAACCCUGUCUCU
RNAcentral lists this small RNA (268 nucleotides) under Nomascus leucogenys (northern white-cheeked gibbon). RNAcentral's name for it is "Metazoan signal recognition particle RNA (ENSNLEG00000028039.1)". The record is from RNAcentral. Lineage: Eukaryota; Metazoa; Chordata; Mammalia; Primates; Hylobatidae.